RNAcentral lists this ribosomal RNA (465 nucleotides) under uncultured bacterium. RNAcentral describes it as "partial 16S ribosomal RNA". It matches the Rfam family "Bacterial small subunit ribosomal RNA", at positions 28 to 507 of the family's 1533-position model. The record is from RNAcentral.
GAUGAACGCUGGCGGCGUGCUUAACACAUGCAAGUCGAACGGAAAGGCUCCUGCUUGCAGGGGUACUCGAGUGGCGAACGGGUGAGUAACACGUGGGUGAUCUGCCCUGCACUUCGGGAUAAGCCUGGGAAACUGGGUCUAAUACCGGAUAGGACGAUGGUUUGGAUGCCAUUGUGGAAAGUUUUUCGGUGUGGGCUGAGCUCGCGGCCUAUCCGCUUGUUUGUGGGGUAUUGGCCUACCAAGACGUCGACGGGUAGCCGGCCUGAGACGGUGUCCGGCCAUAUUGGGACUAAGAUACGGCCCAGACCCCUACGGGAUGCAGCAGUGGGGAAUAUUGCACAACGGGCGCAAGCCUGAUGCAGCGACGCCGCGUGGGGGAUGACGGCCGUCGGGUUGUAAACUCCUUUCGCUAGAGACGAAGCGCAAGUGACGGUACCUGGAGAAGAAGCACCGGCUAACUACGUG